AUAGAGUCAAGUGAAUAAGUGCAUCAGGUGGAUGCCUUGGCGAUGAUAGGCGACGAAGGACGUGUAAGCCUGCGAAAAGCGUGGAGGAGCUGGCAAUAAAGCUAUGAUCCCGCGAUGUCCGAAUGGGGAAACCCACCUCUUAGGAGGUAUCCUUAUCUGAAUACAUAGGAUAAGCGAAGCGAACCCGGAGAACUGAACCAUCUAAGUACCCGGAGGAAAAGAAAUCAACCGAGAUUCCGCAAGUAGUGGCGAGCGAACGCGGAGAAGCCUGUACGUGAUAACUGUCGAGAUAGAAGAACAAGCUGGGAAGCUUGACCAUAGUGGGUGAUAGUCCCGUAUUCGAAAUCUCAACAGUGGUACUAAGCGUACGAAAAGUAGGGCGGGACACGUGAAAUCCUGUCUGAAUAUGGGGGGACCAUCCUCCAAGGCUAAAUACUCAUCAUCGACCGAUAGUGAACCAGUACCGUGAGGGAAAGGCGAAAAGAACCCCGGGAGGGGAGUGAAAUAGAACCUGAAACCUGAUGCAUACAAACAGUGGGAGCACCCUUGUGGUGUGACUGCGUACCUUUUGUAUAAUGGGUCAACGACUUACAUUCAGUAGCGAGCUUAACCGAAUAGGGGAGGCGUAGGGAAACCGAGUCUUAAUAGGGCGAACAGUUGCUGGGUGUAGACCCGAAACCGAGUGAUCUAUCCAUGGCCAGGUUGAAGGUGCCGUAACAGGUACUGGAGGACCGAACCCACGCAUGUUGCAAAAUGCGGGGAUGAGCUGUGGAUAGGGGUGAAAGGCUAAACAAACU
This 797-nucleotide ribosomal RNA is filed under the name Neisseria sp. HMSC066B07. RNAcentral describes it as "bacterial LSU rRNA". It matches the Rfam family "Bacterial large subunit ribosomal RNA", at positions 1 to 839 of the family's 2925-position model. Lineage: Bacteria; Pseudomonadati; Pseudomonadota; Betaproteobacteria; Neisseriales; Neisseriaceae. The record is from RNAcentral.